Long non-coding RNA from Micropterus dolomieu (smallmouth bass), 699 nucleotides. RefSeq lists it as uncharacterized. The transcript is spliced from 2 exons. The record is from RefSeq and is a predicted model, not a curated record. Lineage: Eukaryota; Metazoa; Chordata; Actinopteri; Centrarchiformes; Centrarchidae.
CGUCAACUCGGGUGUGAUAUCAUUCCCAGCUCCGACCUCCAACUUCUGAGACCGGAUGGUAUUCUGGUGGAGAAAUGAUCGGCUGGUCGGAGCCAAGAUUUAACAACAGACGAUAAACGGCAGACGUGAAGAAGAAGUGAUGGCGAAAACAACCUGAAGUUCUCCCAUCAGCCCCGUGAGUGGAAACAUGAAGAGACGAGUGGACGGAGGGACGGAUGGAUCCGAACGGGACAAACCUUCAGUCUGAUACGUCUGAUAUGGAUUCAGACAUUCGUCCAUCAAGUGAUUAAAAGUUGCGUCGGUCUUUAAUCAGCGGAGGGGUGUCCAACUUGGCGUCCCGGGGGGAUAAUUAAGACUCUACUGCUGCUGCAGGAGAGUUAACGUGACUCAUAUCUAACAGCGUUUAUUAACUUUCAGGUGUUUUCUGCAGGCUUUUAAAGGAAUAGUCCCUCUAAAAUGUGACGUCUGACAGGAUAAUAACCUGAUGUGUCUUCAGCGUCUGUCAGACUCUCACAGUCAGAGAUGAGAAAUGGAUGUUUCUGCAUUAUGCAUGGCUGUUUUGUUGGGACGAUGUUCAUCCGAGCACUUAAGUCUUUCCAAAACCUGAUGAGCUCCUCCUUCAGGUUUCUGCCCCAUUUCCCUCCACUCCUCCUUUUCUUUCUGGAUAUACAUCUGCAGCAACAUAAAUGUUUAAAUCAA